RNAcentral lists this long non-coding RNA (1543 nucleotides) under Zea mays. Its description in RNAcentral is "long non-coding RNA (ZMAY_LNC000603)". The record is from RNAcentral. Lineage: Eukaryota; Viridiplantae; Streptophyta; Magnoliopsida; Poales; Poaceae.
GAAACCCCCGGUCCCGGUCCCGUUCAUACGCGGACACGCCUGCCUCCUCCCGUCGGCCGUCGCAAUGGACGUCUCUGCUCCUCCACGAUCUAGACUCUAGAGCAGGCGGACCCUGAACGGAAGGUGGGCGCUGCAUGCGGAGCGGAGGUUCUAGGCGCUCGAGCUGGUGCGGACCGUCAAUGGGGGAGGAAGCCUGACGCGGAAGCCAGGUCGUACUACUCCGGUGGCGGACUGGCUGGCUGCGACGCCACCUCUCCGAGGGAAGGCGCCGACUUCUUCGGUGUUCUUCGGAACUGCGCUGUUCGUUCUAGGUUUUGUGUCCCUCUUCACGGGACACGUGGUCACUGAUGCAUGCUGACUGGGCGCGGUUCCGGACUCGGUGGCGAUCCAAGCAGGUAAUUUGUUGGAGACUUGACUGCUCUACUAUAUAAUUCUGAUUCCACGGAAAUUUUGUCAUUGUGUGGAGUGUGAUAUCAUGCGUCUCAUAGCUCGGUAGAAGCGAAGGAAGUUGGUUCCAUCUGUUUUCGAGCUGCAUGAGGCCCUGUUCGGUUUUCAGGGAUUGGAGGUCCGGAUUGAUUCCUAGCCGGAUUACUUCUCUAAUUUAUAUAUAUUUAGAUGAGCUGAAACGAAUCCUGCUUUAUUCCACUAUAACCGAACGGACCCUGAGGGCCUGUUCGGUUCCUACGGAACGGUAGCUCUGAACGAUUCCAGUCCGGAUUGUUUGUCUAAUUAAUAUAAGCAUCGAUGAACUGGGUUGAAUCCUAUUGAAUUCCGGAACAACCGAACAGGCUCUGAGGCCUUGUUCGUUUGUUCAGGAAUGAAGCAGGAAUAAUUUCAGCUGAUCAAAACUUAUAUAAAUUAGCAAAACAAACCGUCUAGUAAUUGUUUGAUGUCUUCAUUCCGGAAGAAACGAACGGCACCUGACGAAUUUGAGAAACUGAGCCCAAGAGUAUAGUAUUUUCUGGCAAUAGCAAGUUUACCUGAAACGUUUUUUUUUUGUGUGCGCCUUAAAUGUUUUCAGUUUCCUUCGCAAGUUCUGCACUUCUGCUUGUACUGAUUUUGGGACUUUUUAAUCUAAAAAUGGUAUCUCCUCUUCAUUGGCAGUUAACGACUGACCAUUUACAAUCCUGAAAAUGUGCAGCAUAGUAGAAACUGAGAACGUACGUAUCAAAUAUUUGGGAAUCAAUAUUCCGGUUGCUUUGUUCUUAUCAUCCCUUAUUGUGUGUUACCUUUAUGACGUUUCAGUUUGCACGUAACAGAUGUUGCCGUAGCUGUCUGGAUUUUGAAUGCAAUACUUGUUGUACCUGAGUUAGGACCGCACCACUGAUUCUGGGAGGACGGCGUCAGGUGAGUGGAGAAGUACAAAUUACAGGAUGUUUUCUGAAUGUUACCGUUCCAAAAUGGUUUGGCUUCAAAUUUCGUAUGCAGUGACUUCUCCGACGAUUUUUUAACGUGGAGUGAUUCAUUUCCUAUACCUAUCAAAGGAUGUAAUACUGUCAAAAGGAUCUCUUAUCAAGCAAUAUUGUUAGUGGGUAAACUAUCG